RNAcentral lists this unclassified non-coding RNA (17 nucleotides) under Mus musculus (house mouse). Its description in RNAcentral is "oocyte_clustered_small_RNA4247". The record is from RNAcentral. Lineage: Eukaryota; Metazoa; Chordata; Mammalia; Rodentia; Muridae.
UUGUACUUUUACCUAGC